GUCUACGGCCAUACCACCCUGAGCGCACCCGAUCUCGUCUGAUCUCAGAAGCUAAGCAGGGUUGGGCCUGGUUAGUACUUGGAUGGAAGGGAGAAAAAGAGGACGGAUGGGGGCGCCUGGGUGGCUCAGCUGAUUGAGGGUC
Felis catus (domestic cat) is the source of this 142-nucleotide non-coding RNA. The record is from Rfam. NCBI's taxonomy places the organism in Eukaryota, Metazoa, Chordata, Mammalia, Carnivora, Felidae.